UACGUAGGGUGCAAGCGUUGUCCGGAAUUAUUGGGCGUAAAGAGCUCGUAGGCGGUUUGUUGCGUCGGCUGUGAAAUCCCGAGGCUCAACCUCGGGUCUGCAGUCGAUACGAGCAAACUAGAGUGUUGCAGGGGAGACUGGAAUUCCUGGUGUAGCGGUGAAAUGCGCAGAUAUCGGGAGGAACACCAGUGGCGAAGGCGAUCUUCUGGACGGAUACUGACGCUGAGGCGCGAAAGCUAGGGGAGCAAACGGG
This 253-nucleotide ribosomal RNA is filed under the name uncultured bacterium. RNAcentral describes it as "partial 16S ribosomal RNA". It matches the Rfam family "Bacterial small subunit ribosomal RNA", at positions 524 to 776 of the family's 1533-position model. The record is from RNAcentral.